UAGUUGUUAGUCGUUAGCCGGCGGAGCGUUACCGGGCAGCGGGGAGACAGUGGCCGUCUCUGAGGUAAGUUUGUCGGUGAGAUGCAGCGAGUCAGUCCGGAGGCGGAGCUGCGGACUCUGGCGGAGUGUCGGUACAGCUUCCCGGCAGAGACGCUCUCAGACCUGCAGUCGGUUCGGGCUCGGUUCUCCGACCUGCGGCUCUACGUCGACUUUUACUGUUUUCCAAACAAAGAGAAGAAGAAGCUGGUUUAUCUGGCCGGAACACUUCCUGUUUACUACGAAGGAGCUGAGUACAACAUCCCAGUGUGCAUCUGGCUCCAUGAGACUCACCCGGUGUCCCGUCCUCGCUGCUAUGUCUGUCCGUCCGUCGCCAUGGUGAUCAAUCCGUCCUGUCCCUACGUGGACGCCUCCGGAAACAUCAGCGUGGAUGCACUCAACAAGUGGUCUCAGGGCAUGUCCGACCUGUCACAGCUCGUGUCAGAGAUCAGACGGGCAUUCCAGAAGGACACCCCUCUCUUCACCAGGCAACGAGUUCAAGCCCCACCCCCUGCAGGUGUCCAGGUGUUCCAGUCAGCUGACAGCGUCCUCUCAUCGUCCUCAUCCCAACACCGUGUCUCUCUGUCCUCGUCUCAUCUGUCUGGACAUUCAGCCAGCCAAUUGGAGCUGUGCAGGACUGUGAGGGCAGGGCGUUCAUACACCGAGGACCUGCUGGGCAUCGACUUCAGCGCUCCUCCUCCAUCACCCUCCAACCCCUUCAUUAGUUCCUCCCUUUCAGGUGCCCCCCUUGAAGACCCUCUCACCAGGCAAAUGGGAGCACUUAGGCUGGAUGAAGAGUUCAGCAGAGACCAGGCUGAGGCACCUGUCCAAAUCAUCCAAUCAGAAGCAACCAAAGACAGACACACUGAUGAUUCUGGUGCAGGACCUGGACUCAGUCAGGACCUCCAUCCUCUCAAACCCUCAUCCAGACCCGGAGCAGACAUUAUCAAGAUGGCGUCCCGGCUCCCUCCGGACCAGGCGGCAGUGUUUCUGUCUCUAAUGGCUAUGGAGGGGCGGAGCUUCAUCCCGACUGAUGUCAUGGAGGCAGUCCAGCUCAACAGAGACUUCCAGUCGGCUCUGAGGUUUCUGUGUCACAGCUGCCCCAUCUGCCAGGAGCAGGUGUCCUUCAGCAAGAUCAUCACGAUGACUCACUGCUCCUGCUUCCUGUGUCAGUCGUGUUUCAAGUUGUUUUUCUUGGCAGCCAUUAAAGAGCGCAGCGUGGAUCAGCUGGUUUGUCCUCAGUGUGGACAGCCAGAGGUCCGAGGACCGGGAGGGCUGGAGGGGUCUAUGGACUACUUCAACCUGCUGGACACACAGAUUCGUCAUUUUCUGCCUCCUGAGAUCCACGAGCUCUUCCAGAGGAAGCUCAGAGACCGAGCCCUGCAGGAGAUGCCCAACUUCUGCUGGUGUGCUCAUUGUUCUUUUGGGAUGCUCCAUGAGGCUGACAGCUUGAGGAUAGACUGUCCCAGCUGUAAGAAGAGCACCUGCUCUAAAUGCAGAUCACCUUGGUUUCCUCAGCAUCAGAGUCUCUCCUGUGAGCAGUUCAGAGUCUGGAAGCAGAAGAACCAACCAGAUCAUCACAGCAGCCCCCUGCUGUACAGCAGCAUAGAGUGUCCAAACUGCCAGCUUGUCUUCAGUCUGUCUAAAGGAGGAUGUCUUCACUUCACAUGCAGUCAGUGUCGGCAUCAGUUCUGUGGUGGAUGCAGUCAGCGCUUCACUCUGGGAUCUGCCUGCGGUUUCUCUGCUGACUGUGGAAGUAAAGGUCUUCAUGCUCACCACCCCAGAGACUGCCUUUACCACCUGAGAGACUGGAGUGUCACCCGCCUUCACCUGUUGCUACAGCAUUACAGUGUCUCUCCCUCCUGGUUGGAAGCAGCCAAUGGUAGCCCACCUGACAUCGGUCUGGCAGCAGUGUGUUUGGUUUUGGAACUGAGAGACGACAGCAGCAGACAGGAGGAGCCCUGUGGUCGACCUGCACUACCUGAAUACAGAGGAUACUGCCACAGGUUGCACUAUAAGGAGUAUUUGGUGGAGUUGAUCAACCGUUACCGUGUCGACCCUGCAGUCCUAUUUAGUCUGGCCGAGAUGACGGCGGAGCUGCAGCGCUGGCAGGUCGCCGUGCCGACCAGGAAACCUGAUGAACCGGAGGGGCUGUACACACACCGACUCCGCCUGACGCUGACCAAUAGCGUUCCUCUCAGGAAGCAGCGCCGCUCCCUGCUCAAACUCGGCGACAACCUUUGCCCUCUGCCCACCGCUGUGGUUGCCAGAGCCCCGCCCCCUCACCUGCUGCUGAGUGACUGACUCCGUCCCCUGUUCCUGGGGCAGAUCUGAUUGGCUCACUAGUUGCCAAGGAGAGCAACUACAGACAGACCGUAUCAAAGACAGCGAGUAGCCAAUCGGAGUACAGAGCUUACGCUGCCCUUAUUGAUCUGAAUGUCAACGAACACUCAGACCGCUAACGACGCUACUGAUGCCAACAAGCCUUUCGUCAGUGUUCAGGGAUCCAUUUCUGUUUGAGCCAGUGUGAGCAGCAGUUAGCACGUGUUAACAGAGACACAUGUUGAUGGCUGCAGUUCCUGCUCCACGCAGCCUGCAGAGAAACACACAUGAUGACAGGAAACACCUUCACCUGGCUGCAGGUGUGCAGCAGCCCGCUGUUACCCGUGAACCGGGACGCUCAGGACGUUCUUCAGGCUGCAGAAGAUCCUGUCGACGGCUUCGGGGGCUCUGCUGGAUCCGAACUCUGUGGCCACGAUGGACUGCUGGAUGUCUGAGGAGAACAACAGCAGGUUCUUUAGGAGAACGCUUCGUGUUCUCAGAACAACGUCUGAUCUCCAGGUCCGUCUAAUCAUCUUAACUGUCUUCAAAGAGAAACCUCCAGCGGUUGUCCGUUGCAGAACGCUCCCUUCCCCCUCCUGGCGGUGAACAUCUUGUCUUCCAGACAGCUGUAGACGACACCAAACUCCACCUGAAGGAGCAGGAAGGUGGAAGCAUCUCACAUUGGAGCAGGACCAGCAUAAUGAAUCCUAGAAUUAGAGAUAAUAGGUAUACUAGAAGAGAACCUACAGUCUACAGCAGUAAUGAGUACACUGCUGUGUAAUAUCACUUAAAUGUCAUAAGAUGCUAAACUUUGGAUGUUCUCCUGCUGGAAUAUUUCUCUUCAUCAUCUGGUCAGCCAGUAUUCUAGUUCAUCCUCAGACCUUCAUGCUGCAUCUAGAAAUGUCUUCAACACCUUCUGACCUCACGCAGCCCCAUAUCAUCACACUCCCACCUCCGUGCUUCACUGUCAGGAUUACGCAUCCACUGUGGUAGUCCUGGUCAGGUUCUCACCAAACAUCUGGACUCCAUCUCAGCCCAACUCGUUGAUCUUCAUCUGACCGAAGAAUGUCUUAAUCUGUAUUAUUAUUUUUUGCUUAACAUUUAUUUACCCAGGUAGGUCAACUGAGAACCAGUUCUCAUCUACCAUAAUGACCUGGCCAAGAGGCAGCAUAAAAGAUAAAUAUAAUUACAUUCAGCAGACACUUUUAUCCAAAGCAACAUACAUCUGAGAGUAGACACAACACAAGGGAGGUAGGACUGUGGUGUUGGUCAGUGAGCUAUCCAGCUGCUAAAUACUACACAGUGAGGACACGAAGAGAGAAAACAGCAGAAACAGAUAAUAGUUAUUCAUGGUGACCUAUAAUGAGGUAAAUGGCUAAAAGCAGGUAAAUGGUCUUGUACUAUUGUUUGAAUUGAAUUUUGAAUGAGGAGAGAAUGAAUGAGGGUAAAAUUGGCAAUAGGAGGUAUUGGUUUUAGGUGUGAGGAGAUUGAUGAAGCUGCUGGAGCGCAGACUGGGAUUUGUACUGUGAAUGUUAAGAAGAGACUGCAGAUAUAACAGGUUUCCAAAAGAGAGGUUUGUAAAUGAACAGAAACCAGUAAGGUUGAAGGUCAGUUCAGCAGAGCAGAUGGCAUGUUCUCCAACUUCCAUCAGGCUUCUUCUCAUGUUUUUCAGCAAACUUUCAUCUGGAAGUUUAGUUCUGAGCAGCAACCAGGUUUAGUCCUGGUCCUCCGUCCAUAGAGGCUGAUGUUAUGAAGGUUCCUUCACACUGUCUGAGCUUCACACUGUUUCUUUAAACCAGGUCUGUGUUGCUGUAAAAUAGUGACGUGGAUAACUGACAGUAGACUAUGGAGCUGCUCCACCCAAACCUUCAGCAGAACAUUUUCAGUGUGAAGCUGCUGCCGAAAGUAGUCUGUAAUACAUGCAGCUGAUACACAAAACUGUGUUUCUCUGCAGAUGUUCCACAGCUGUGACAAUAAAAACAGUCUGAGAAUAAUGGCAGCUCAUUAAAGCAUAAACUGGUGUGAAAAUAAUGUGAAUUUGGAAAA
This is an RNA transcript of Amphiprion ocellaris (clown anemonefish), 4404 nucleotides long. It is a transcript of the gene named E3 ubiquitin-protein ligase RNF31, with no coding region annotated. The transcript has 21 exons. NCBI's taxonomy places the organism in Eukaryota, Metazoa, Chordata, Actinopteri, Pomacentridae. The record is from RefSeq and is a predicted model, not a curated record.